UGCAAGUCGAGCGAACAGAUGAGAAGCUUGCUUCUCUGAUGUUAGCGGCGGACGGGUGAGUAACACGUGGGUAACCUACCUAUAAGACUGGGAUAACUCCGGGAAACCGGGGCUAAUACCGGAUAAUAUUUUGAACCGCAUGGUUCAAUAGUGAAAGACGGUUUCGGCUGUCACUUAUAGAUGGACCCGCGCCGUAUUAGCUAGUUGGUAAGGUAAUGGCUUACCAAGGCGACGAUACGUAGCCGACCUGAGAGGGUGAUCGGCCACACUGGAACUGAGACACGGUCCAGACUCCUACGGGAGGCAGCAGUAGGGAAUCUUCCGCAAUGGGCGAAAGCCUGACGGAGCAACGCCGCGUGAGUGAUGAAGGUCUUCGGAUCGUAAAACUCUGUUGUUAGGGAAGAACAAAUUUGUUAGUAACUGAACAAGUCUUGACGGUACCUAACCAGAAAGCCACGGCUAACUACGUGCCAGCAGCCGCGGUAAUACGUAGGUGGCAAGCGUUAUCCGGAAUUAUUGGGCGUAAAGCGCGCGUAGGCGGUUUCUUAAGUCUGAUGUGAAAGCCCACGGCUCAACCGUGGAGGGUCAUUGGAAACUGGGAAACUUGAGUGCAGAAGAGGAGAGUGGAAUUCCAUGUGUAGCGGUGAAAUGCGCAGAGAUAUGGAGGAACACCAGUGGCGAAAGCGGCUCUCUGGUCUGUAACUGACGCUGAUGUGCGAAAGCGUGGGGAUCAAACAGGAUUAGAUACCCUGGUAGUCCACGCCGUAAACGAUGAGUGCUAAGUGUUAGGGGGUUUCCGCCCCUUAGUGCUGCAGCUAACGCAUUAAGCACUCCGCCUGGGGAGUACGACCGCAAGGUUGAAACUCAAAGGAAUUGACGGGGACCCGCACAAGCGGUGGAGCAUGUGGUUUAAUUCGAAGCAACGCGAAGAACCUUACCAAAUCUUGACAUCCUUUGACCGCUCUAGAGAUAGAGUCUUCCCCUUCGGGGGACAAAGUGACAGGUGGUGCAUGGUUGUCGUCAGCUCGUGUCGUGAGAUGUUGGGUUAAGUCCCGCAACGAGCGCAACCCUUAAGCUUAGUUGCCAUCAUUAAGUUGGGCACUCUAGGUUGACUGCCGGUGACAAACCGGAGGAAGGUGGGGAUGACGUCAAAUCAUCAUGCCCCUUAUGAUUUGGGCUACACACGUGCUACAAUGGAUAAUACAAAGGGCAGCGAAUCCGCGAGGCCAAGCAAAUCCCAUAAAAUUAUUCUCAGUUCGGAUUGUAGUCUGCAACUCGACUACAUGAAGCUGGAAUCGCUAGUAAUCGUAGAUCAGCAUGCUACGGUGAAUACGUUCCCGGGUCUUGUACACACCGCCCGUCACACCACGAGAGUUUGUAACACCCGAAGCCGGUGGAGUAACCUUUUAGGAGCUAGC
RNAcentral lists this ribosomal RNA (1418 nucleotides) under bacterium. RNAcentral describes it as "bacterial SSU rRNA". It matches the Rfam family "Bacterial small subunit ribosomal RNA". The record is from RNAcentral.